RNAcentral lists this non-coding RNA (106 nucleotides) under uncultured Acetatifactor sp. The record is from RNAcentral. Lineage: Bacteria; Bacillati; Bacillota; Clostridia; Lachnospirales; Lachnospiraceae.
UUCCGCUAGGGGAGCACAUCGCUGAGACUGGAAUGCUGUAACUACUGCAUUUCUAACCCUCACUACUUGAACCGGAUAAUACCGGCGUAAGGAAGCACAGAGUUCA